This 68-nucleotide non-coding RNA is filed under the name uncultured Mamiellales. Lineage: Eukaryota; Viridiplantae; Chlorophyta; Mamiellophyceae; Mamiellales. The record is from RNAcentral.
AAAAAAAAAAAAAAAAAAAAAAAGGGAGAGAGCGCGUGCGUGUGCUGUCUUCUUCUUCUUCUUCUUCU